Molecule: long non-coding RNA, 638 nt
Organism: Monopterus albus (swamp eel)
Lineage: Eukaryota; Metazoa; Chordata; Actinopteri; Synbranchiformes; Synbranchidae
Exons: 3
Source: RefSeq, a predicted model, not a curated record
GCGACAAUGCCAUCGAUCGGAUCCCUGGCCAAUCGGGUAAACACAGGUCAGUCAUGUGACCCUAGAGGCGGAAGUUUCCUGCUGUGGCGCGAAUGAACAACAAAGGAAAGUACAGAGGAGGGAAAGUUUUCACCUGUGAUUUUCGAAGUGAUGGCGGAGGAGGGCAGUGCGCCGAAUCAAAAGGUUAUGGAGAGAUGUGUGGGCAGCAGUGACGAGCAUCUAUUAUGAUGUUCUACACUACCUAGAAGAAGAAGGCUUCCUCAACAUCUCCAGUGUUCUGCACCUCCUUUGUUGCCAUUAUGCGUUCCUGCCAUGCAUUUCCAAAGUGGCUGGGACAACCAUCCCAUAAGAACUGAGAACCACAUGACUCCUGACCAGCUAGGUCACAUCUCUUACCCAGUUCCAUCACCAGAAAAUGUGGAGACUGUCAACAUUCCACUGAUUGACUGGGAGAACAGUGGCAAAGCUGACACCGGAAAGCUGGUGCUGGAAGAGCAGCAGGGACAGGGUUAAUUACACUCUUCAACAUUAUGGAGUAUAUGACCUACCCAUAUCUACAACCACAUGUCACAUGACCAAGUGAGGUCUCAUGACACAAUAAGACAACAGACCUGAACCUGUUACUAUCACUUGUGUCG